Molecule: transfer RNA, 65 nt
Filed under: Tigriopus japonicus
Lineage: Eukaryota; Metazoa; Arthropoda; Copepoda; Harpacticoida; Harpacticidae
Description: tRNA-Lys
Source: RNAcentral
GGUUUCAAAAUCUGUCAGAUAAGAACUUUUUAAUUUCUUUAAGGGAGGGGUGCCUCCUGAAAUCA